ACUAAUGCUGUAACCACGCCAUGGCUGCUGACACGUGAAGAACCUCGUUGACAACCGAUUUGGAAAAUGAAGCAACAGACUUGGCGCGUUCGCCUUUCGAUAUAAUCGAUUUUCAUCACUUUGAAGUCUUCUUGACUGUGCUUCUACGAUAAGACCAGAAAGAAAGCAUGUUCGAUCGUAUAUUACUUAUAAGGAAGAAAGAAAGAGAGAGAGAGAGAGAGAGAGAGAAGAGGUCUUGUUAAAGUAUGGAAAGAUAUGGUCGCUCCAAUGCCUUUUGAAAUUGAAUUACACGCAUGAUGAUCCGCGUGAAAGAGGUGGUUACCUGUGCAUGCAGAAUGGGGACAUGUUAAGGCACUAUUUGUAUUACAUGUAAGCUGGAGAACGUUUGGUUUCGUGCCAAGAGAAAAGAUAAGAUUCUCCAAACAAUAGAAAAUUCCAUUCUGAUACACUA
This 451-nucleotide long non-coding RNA is filed under the name Polistes fuscatus (common paper wasp). RNAcentral describes it as "uncharacterized LOC122516908". Lineage: Eukaryota; Metazoa; Arthropoda; Insecta; Hymenoptera; Vespidae. The record is from RNAcentral.